This 678-nucleotide ribosomal RNA is filed under the name Pediococcus acidilactici. RNAcentral's name for it is "bacterial SSU rRNA". It matches the Rfam family "Bacterial small subunit ribosomal RNA", at positions 750 to 1428 of the family's 1533-position model. The record is from RNAcentral. Lineage: Bacteria; Bacillati; Bacillota; Bacilli; Lactobacillales; Lactobacillaceae.
GGCUCGAAAGCAUGGGUAGCGAACAGGAUUAGAUACCCUGGUAGUCCAUGCCGUAAACGAUGAUUACUAAGUGUUGGAGGGUUUCCGCCCUUCAGUGCUGCAGCUAACGCAUUAAGUAAUCCGCCUGGGGAGUACGACCGCAAGGUUGAAACUCAAAAGAAUUGACGGGGGCCCGCACAAGCGGUGGAGCAUGUGGUUUAAUUCGAAGCUACGCGAAGAACCUUACCAGGUCUUGACAUCUUCUGCCAACCUAAGAGAUUAGGCGUUCCCUUCGGGGACAGAAUGACAGGUGGUGCAUGGUUGUCGUCAGCUCGUGUCGUGAGAUGUUGGGUUAAGUCCCGCAACGAGCGCAACCCUUAUUACUAGUUGCCAGCAUUCAGUUGGGCACUCUAGUGAGACUGCCGGUGACAAACCGGAGGAAGGUGGGGACGACGUCAAAUCAUCAUGCCCCUUAUGACCUGGGCUACACACGUGCUACAAUGGAUGGUACAACGAGUCGCGAAACCGCGAGGUUUAGCUAAUCUCUUAAAACCAUUCUCAGUUCGGACUGUAGGCUGCAACUCGCCUACACGAAGUCGGAAUCGCUAGUAAUCGCGGAUCAGCAUGCCGCGGUGAAUACGUUCCCGGGCCUUGUACACACCGCCCGUCACACCAUGAGAGUUUGUAACACCCAAAGCC